RNAcentral lists this ribosomal RNA (501 nucleotides) under uncultured bacterium. RNAcentral describes it as "partial 16S ribosomal RNA". It matches the Rfam family "Bacterial small subunit ribosomal RNA", at positions 30 to 523 of the family's 1533-position model. The record is from RNAcentral.
AUUGAACGCUGGCGGCAGGCUUAACACAUGCAAGUCGAGCGGGGGAAGGUAGCUUGCUACCGGACCUAGUGGCGGACGGGUGAGUAAUGCUUAGGAAUCUGCCUAUUAGUGGAGGACAACAUCUCGAAAGGGAUGCUAAUACCGCAUACGUCCUACGGGAGAAAGCAGGGGAUCUUCGGACCUUGCGCUAAUAGAUGAGCCUAAGUCGGAUUAGCUAGUUGGUGGGGUAAAGGCCUACCGAGGCGACGAUCUGUAGCGGAUCUGAGAGGAUGCUCCGCCACACUGGGACUGAGACACGGCCCAGACUCCUACGGGAGGCAGAAGUGGGGAAUAUUGGACAAUGGGGGGAACCCUGAUCCAGCCAUGCCGCGUGUGUGAAGAAGGCCUUAUGGUUGUAAAGCACUUUAAGCGAGGAGGAGGCUACUUUAGUUAAUACCUAGAGAUAGUGGACGUUACUCGCAGGAUAAGCACCGGCUAACUCUGUGCCAGCCGCCGCUGUAA